Molecule: ribosomal RNA, 253 nt
Filed under: uncultured bacterium
Lineage: Bacteria
Description: partial 16S ribosomal RNA
Rfam family: Bacterial small subunit ribosomal RNA
Source: RNAcentral
UACGGAGGGGGCUAGCGUUGUUCGGAAUUACUGGGCGUAAAGCGCGCGUAGGCGGCUUUCUAAGUCAGAGGUGAAAGCCCGGGGCUCAACCCCGGAAUUGCCUUUGAGACUGGAUCGCUUGAACGUCGGAGAGGUGAGUGGAAUUCCGAGUGUAGAGGUGAAAUUCGUAGAUAUUCGGAAGAACACCAGUGGCGAAGGCGGCUCACUGGACGACUGUUGACGCUGAGGUGCGAAAGCGUGGGGAGCAAACAGG